CGUAGUAUAGCUUAACCAAAGCACCCCGCUUACACCGGGGAGAUAUCUGUGAAACUCAGAUUACCCCGA
This 69-nucleotide transfer RNA is filed under the name Leptodactylus cunicularius (rabbit-burrow frog). RNAcentral's name for it is "tRNA-Val". It matches the Rfam family "tRNA". Rfam says of the family: Transfer RNA (tRNA) molecules are approximately 80 nucleotides in length. Their secondary structure includes four short double-helical elements and three loops (D, anti-codon, and T loops). Further hydrogen bonds mediate the characteristic L-shaped molecular structure. tRNAs have two regions of fundamental functional importance: the anti-codon, which is responsible for specific mRNA codon recognition, and the 3' end, to which the tRNAs corresponding amino acid is attached (by aminoacyl-tRNA synthetases). tRNAs cope with the degeneracy of the genetic code in two manners: having more than one tRNA (with a specific anti-codon) for a particular amino acid; and 'wobble' base-pairing, i.e. permitting non-standard base-pairing at the 3rd anti-codon position. The record is from RNAcentral. Lineage: Eukaryota; Metazoa; Chordata; Amphibia; Anura; Leptodactylidae.